Molecule: small RNA, 127 nt
Filed under: Marmota monax (woodchuck)
Lineage: Eukaryota; Metazoa; Chordata; Mammalia; Rodentia; Sciuridae
Source: RNAcentral
GCCAGGUGUGGUGGCACACGCCUGUAAUCCCAGUGACUCAGGAGACUGAUGCAGGAGGAUCACAAGUUCAAGAACAGUUGUGACAAUUUAGUGAGGCCCUAAGCAACCUAGUGAGACCCUGUCUCAA